UCGAACGCUUCUUUCCUCCCGAGUGCUUGCACUCAAUUGGAAAGAGGAGUGGCGGACGGGUGAGUAACACGUGGGUAACCUACCCAUCAGAGGGGGAUAACACUUGGAAACAGGUGCUAAUACCGCAUAACAGUUUAUGCCGCAUGGCAUAAGAGUGAAAGGCGCUUUCGGGUGUCGCUGAUGGAUGGACCCGCGGUGCAUUAGCUAGUAGGUGAGGUAACGGCUCACCAAGGCCACGAUGCAUAGCCGACCUGAGAGGGUGAUCGGCCACACUGGGACUGAGACACGGCCCAGACUCCUACGGGAGGCAGCAGUAGGGAAUCUUCGGCAAUGGACGAAAGUCUGACCGAGCAACGCCGCGUGAGUGAAGAAGGUUUUCGGAUCGUAAAACUCUGUUGUUAGAGAAGAACAAGGACGUUAGUAACUGAACGUCCCCUGACGGUAUCUAACCAGAAAGCCACGGCUAACUACGUGCCAGCAGCCGCGGUAAUACGUAGGUGGCAAGCGUUAUCCGGAUUUAUUGGGCGUAAAGGGAACGCAGGCGGUCUUUUAAGUCUGAUGUGAAAGCCUUCGGCUUAACCGGAGUAGUGCAUUGGAAACUGGGAGACUUGAGUGCAGAAGAGGAGAGUGGAACUCCAUGUGUAGCGGUGAAAUGCGUAGAUAUAUGGAAGAACACCAGUGGCGAAAGCGGCUCUC
This 696-nucleotide ribosomal RNA is filed under the name uncultured Enterococcus sp. Its description in RNAcentral is "bacterial SSU rRNA". It matches the Rfam family "Bacterial small subunit ribosomal RNA", at positions 62 to 729 of the family's 1533-position model. Lineage: Bacteria; Bacillati; Bacillota; Bacilli; Lactobacillales; Enterococcaceae. The record is from RNAcentral.